This is a long non-coding RNA of Syzygium oleosum, 1597 nucleotides long. RefSeq lists it as uncharacterized. The transcript has 3 exons. Lineage: Eukaryota; Viridiplantae; Streptophyta; Magnoliopsida; Myrtales; Myrtaceae. The record is from RefSeq and is a predicted model, not a curated record.
CGUGACCACAUAUAACCAAAGGAAAGAAUUGCAGGGCCCUUGGUGAGCAUGAUGACAAAGCGAUCAUACUUAGAUGGGAGCCCCUUAAGGGCUUGAAUCACCAAGUUUUUGUGGGAGAGUGGAGCAAUUGUUUGUGAAGAAAGAACAUGGAUUGGUAUGAUUUCUUGACGGCAAUGAAAAAAAAAAUCGAGUUUUAGUCCAAUUUCCAUAGCCGCGUAGAGAUGAGCAGAGCAUUCUCCAAGAGCAAGCCAAAUCUUCGGAGAUUUGUUUUGGAACUAUAAGUAUCAUCCAGCCACUUAUCAAGCGAUUCGACAAAAUAAUCUUUGGGUUUGUACAGCAAUCCUGUCUUACAAUCUAUUCAACAAUAUUUAUGGCCAAGAUUGUGCAAGCUCCGAUCAGUUGGAACUGUAAGUAUUAUCCAGCCACUUAUAAACUGAUUCGACAAACUAAUCUUUGGGCUUGUAUAGCUAUCCUGCCUUGGAGUCUAUUCAACAAUAUAUAUGGCCAAGAUUGUGCAAGCUCGAUCAGAGAACAUUGUAAGGAUGCUAUUUUCUAAUUUGGUGCACAGUACCUACUUUUGUUAAGUAACAAAAUCUUUGCAUGCAGGUAUGAGCUGCAUUACCAGAUGACAACAUUUGGAAAGGUAUGAUACUAUUAAGUUCCACGUGUUCUUUCUUCCACCCUUUUUGGCCAAUACAGAUGAAGUAUUCACUUACGGUACUCAUGGCAGUUGAGAGUGAUCAACAGUGUGAAAUUAAUACAGGUUUUCUGUACAAAAAGCAAACCAAAUUGCAAUGCAUGUCCUAUGAGAGGAGAAUGCAGACACUUUGCAAGUGCAAGGCUUGCUUUGCCCGGGCCAGAGGAAAAGAGCAUAGCGAAUGCAAUGGGAAGAAACAUAGCCGGCCAAAACAUUGGCGAGACAUUGCCUCUGUCAUUACCACUGGCAAAGGAGAAUUUAGAACAACAGCAACAAGAAGCAAGGCCCGGUGCAAGUAACUGUCAACCUAUUAUAGAGGAACCUGCAACCCCAGAACCAGACUGCACUCGGAUAGAACAAAAUAACGUGGAGGAUAUGUUUUCAGAUGUUCUCAACGAAAUACCUACAAUCAAACUUAACAUGGAAGAGUUUAUUCAGAAUUUAUAGAAGUACAUGCCAUACAACAUGGACCGCCCAGAAGAUGACAUGUCAAAAGCUUUAGUUGCUUUAACCCCAGAAGCUGCCUCUAUUCAUGUGCCUGAGCUUAAAAAUGUGAGCCGGCUACAGACGGAGCACCUAGUGUAAGUCUAACCGUCUUGACCACUCAAGUUAUUCACAUAUGAUUCUCAUUCUUUGAAUGUAAUAAUGCUUUUCCUGGUGGCGAGACAAUUUAGCAGACGAUGAUACUUGCAUUUUCCAUUUCAGCCCUAUAACCUUUCCAAUUUAAAUCAACUUAUUGCAAAUAAUUGUCAGAUAUACUAUUCCACAAGACCAAGACCAGCCAAGAACACCACAAAAUAAGAGAAAACAGAGAAUAGCCUUAGAUAAAAAUGUCUCGAUUUAUCAACGUGAAAACAGCUGAAGAUGGAAUAAUCCACUCCCACAUCAAUGUGGAAAGAG